This 400-nucleotide ribosomal RNA is filed under the name uncultured bacterium. RNAcentral describes it as "bacterial SSU rRNA". It matches the Rfam family "Bacterial small subunit ribosomal RNA", at positions 975 to 1375 of the family's 1533-position model. The record is from RNAcentral.
CUGGGCUUGACAUCCCCACGGAGAGGAGGUAAUGCCCCUGGCCCUUCGGGGCGUGGGAGACAGGUGGUGCAUGGUUGUCGUCAGCUCGUGUCGUGAGAUGUUGGGUUAAGUCCCGCAACGAGCGCAACCCUUACCCUUAGUAGCCAGCGGAAGAGCCGGGCACUCUAGGGGGACAGCCUGGGAUAACCAGGAGGAAGGCGGGGAUGACGUCAAAUCAUCAUGCCCCUUAUGUUCAGGGCUACACACGGGCUACAAGGGGGGGGACAGAGGGAAGGGAGACAGCGAUGUUGAGGGAAGCCCAAAAAAGCGGUCCCAGUUCGGAUGGCAGCCGGCAACUGGGCGGCAGGAAGCGGGAAUCGCUGGUAAUCGGGGAUCAGAAUGCCGCGGGGAAUAGGUUCCC